AUAGCAUAUCAAUAAGCGGAGGAAAAGAAACCAACAGGGAUUGCCCUAGUAACGGCGAGUGAAGCGGCAACAGCUCAAAUUUGAAAUCUGGCUCUUUUAGAGUCCGAGUUGUAAUUUGCAGAGGGCGCUUUGGCGUUGGGAGCGGUCCAAGUUCUUUGGAACAGGACGUCACAGAGGGUGAGAAUCCCGUACGUGGUCGCUAUCCUUCGCCGUGUAAAGCCCCUUCGACGAGUCGAGUUGUUUGGGAAUGCAGCUCUAAAUGGGAGGUAAAUUUCUUCUAAAGCUAAAUACUGGCCAGAGACCGAUAGCGCACAAGUAGAGUGAUCGAAAGAUGAAAAGCACUUUGGAAAGAGAGUCAAAUAGCACGUGAAAUUGUUGAAAGGGAAGCGCUUGCAGCCAGACUUGCCUGUAGUUGCUUAUCUGGACUUUUGUCCAGUGCACUCUUCUGCGGGCAGGCCAGCAUCAGUUUGGGCGGUUGGAUAAAGGUCUCUGUCAUGUACCUCCUUUCGGGGAGGCCUUAUAGGGGAGGCGACAUGCAACCAGCCUGGACUGAGGUCCGCGCAUCUGCUAGGAUGCUGGCGUAAUGGCUGUAAGCGGCCCGUCUUGAAACACGGACCAAGGAGUCUAACAUCUAUGCGAGUGUUUGGGUGUCAAGCCCAGACGCGUAAUGAAAGUGAACGGAGGUGGGAACCUUUUAGGUGCACCAUCGACCGAUCCUGAUGUCUUCGGAAGGAUUUGAGUAAGAGCAUAGCUGUUGGGACCCGAAAGAUGGUGAACUAUGCUUGAAUAGGGUGAAGCCAGAGGAAACUCUGGUGGAGGCUCGCAGCGGUUCUGACGUGCAAAUCGAUCGUCAAAUUUGGGCAUAGGGGCGAAAGACUAAUCGA
Molecule: ribosomal RNA, 884 nt
Filed under: Parastagonospora elymi
Lineage: Eukaryota; Fungi; Ascomycota; Dothideomycetes; Pleosporales; Phaeosphaeriaceae
Description: Parastagonospora sp. IDG-2019a partial large subunit ribosomal RNA
Rfam family: Eukaryotic large subunit ribosomal RNA
Source: RNAcentral